CGGACGGGUGAGUAACACGUGGAUAACCUACCUAUAAGACUGGGAUAACUUCGGGAAACCGGAGCUAAUACCGGAUAAUAUAUUGAACCGCAUGGUUCAAUAGUGAAAGACGGUUUUGCUGUCACUUAUAGAUGGAUCCGCGCCGCAUUAGCUAGCUGGUAAGGUAACGGCUUACCAAGGCAACGAUGCGUAGCCGACCUGAGAGGGUGAUCGGCCACACUGUAACUGAGACACGGUCCAG
Molecule: ribosomal RNA, 241 nt
Filed under: uncultured Staphylococcus sp.
Lineage: Bacteria; Bacillati; Bacillota; Bacilli; Caryophanales; Staphylococcaceae
Description: partial 16S ribosomal RNA
Rfam family: Bacterial small subunit ribosomal RNA
Source: RNAcentral